CAGGAUGAACGCUGGCGGCGUGCCUAACACAUGCAAGUCGAACGGGGUUUAUAAUAUGAAGUUUUCGGACGGAAUAUUGUAAACCUAGUGGCGGACGGGUGAGUAACGCGUGGGCAACCUGCCCCAUACAGGGGGAUAACAGCCGGAAACGGCUGCUAAAACCGCAUGAAACUGCGCUGCCGCAUGGCGGUGCAGCCAAAUAUUUAUAGGUAUGGGAUGGGCCCGCGUCUGAUUAGCUAGUUGGUAAGGUAACGGCCUACCAAGGCGACGAUCAGUAGCCGGCUUGAGAGAGUGACCGGCCACAUUGGGACUGAGACACGGCCCAAACUCCUACGGGAGGCAGCAGUGGGGAAUAUUGCACAAUGGGGGAAACCCUGAUGCAGCGACGCCGCGUGAGUGAAGAAGUAUUUCGGUAUGUAAAGCUCUAUCAGCAGGGAAGAUAAUGACGGUACCUGACUAAGAAGCCCCGGCUAACUACGUGCCAGCCGCGGC
RNAcentral lists this ribosomal RNA (492 nucleotides) under uncultured bacterium. RNAcentral's name for it is "bacterial SSU rRNA". It matches the Rfam family "Bacterial small subunit ribosomal RNA", at positions 25 to 518 of the family's 1533-position model. The record is from RNAcentral.